GAUAUGGCUCAGGACGAACGCUGGCGGCGUGCUUAACACAUGCAAGUCGAACGAGAAUCUACUGAAGGAGGAUUCGUCCAACGGAUGUAGAGGAAAGUGGCGGACGGGUGAGUAACGCGUGAGGAACCUGCCUUGAAGAGGGGGACAACAGUUGGAAACGACUGCUAAUACCGCAUGAAGCAUAGGGGUCGCAUGAUCUUUAUGCCAAAGAUUUAUCGCUUCAAGAUGGCCUCGCGU
Molecule: ribosomal RNA, 237 nt
Filed under: uncultured bacterium
Lineage: Bacteria
Description: partial 16S ribosomal RNA
Rfam family: Bacterial small subunit ribosomal RNA
Source: RNAcentral